Lemur catta (Ring-tailed lemur) is the source of this 757-nucleotide long non-coding RNA. RefSeq lists it as uncharacterized. The record is from RefSeq and is a predicted model, not a curated record. NCBI's taxonomy places the organism in Eukaryota, Metazoa, Chordata, Mammalia, Primates, Lemuridae. The transcript has 3 exons.
ACAGGUUUGUCCCCGGCAAACUCCAGGGUGUAUGGUCCAUGCCAGGUUCUGGGAUCUCAGGUGAAAACAGGGAUGGGCACAGGAAUCCCUCCCAACUCAUGGAGACAGAAUAACAGCAGCUUGCUGACGUCUGGGCUGUUAGGUUUGCUCUAGCGAAGGGAUGAGAAAUUCAGACCAUCUUUCAUACAUUUCUAACCUCCGUGCAAAAAUCGUCAGACACAACCCUCCAACGCCAACAGGGUGAUCUGAGAAACGCUGGGUGAAGCUAGGCGAAGCUGUCCCCGUGGCCAAGAAGGCUCUGCCCACGCAAACUUUGAAAAUGUCCCUCCCUCCCUCCCUUUUUCUUCUCCUUUCUAUUCCCUCCGUACUGCCCACCUUCCUUCCCAGAGCCAUGAAUGGACGUCUCCUUCAAAUCAGCCAGUGUCUUUGUGACAUACACCAGCAAAUCUCUCUAAGGCCUAAGCUCCCAGAAGUUUUGAGGCUCAUGCUGGGAAGAGGAAAGAUUUCUGGUGAUGGGGGUCUCACUCCGAGGGGUUGGGGACUGGUGGCUGGUCACCCCAAGCCAGGGACAGUUGGCAAGAUGAAGAAGAUGAAGAAGAGGAGAAGGCACAGAGAAAAGGCCACGUGAGGACAGUGAGAAGAUGCCAUCUGCACGCCAAGAAGAGAGUCCUUGGGAGAAACCAAGCCUGUCAACACCUUGAUCUUGGACUUUCAGCCUCCAGAACUGUUAGACAAUAAACUUCUGUAGUUGAAUGCA